UCCCUGGUGGUUCAGUGGCUAAGACUCCGUACUCCCAGUGCGGGCUCCCAGGUUCAAUCCCUGAUCAGGGAA
Molecule: transfer RNA, 72 nt
Filed under: Bos taurus (domestic cattle)
Lineage: Eukaryota; Metazoa; Chordata; Mammalia; Artiodactyla; Bovidae
Also listed under: 4 other names
Rfam family: tRNA
About the family: Transfer RNA (tRNA) molecules are approximately 80 nucleotides in length. Their secondary structure includes four short double-helical elements and three loops (D, anti-codon, and T loops). Further hydrogen bonds mediate the characteristic L-shaped molecular structure. tRNAs have two regions of fundamental functional importance: the anti-codon, which is responsible for specific mRNA codon recognition, and the 3' end, to which the tRNAs corresponding amino acid is attached (by aminoacyl-tRNA synthetases). tRNAs cope with the degeneracy of the genetic code in two manners: having more than one tRNA (with a specific anti-codon) for a particular amino acid; and 'wobble' base-pairing, i.e. permitting non-standard base-pairing at the 3rd anti-codon position.
Source: Rfam by way of RNAcentral